CCCAAUGUUCCCACUCAAGCACCUUCACCUGCUAAUCAUCCUCCAUAUAUUCCAACUCCUCCACAAACUCCUUCCCCAGUUUAUACUCCUCCUAAUUUUCCAACGCCUCCAAAAAUACCCUCUCCUGUGUACACUCCCCCAAAAGCUCCUUCCCCUAGUAACAAUCCACCCUAUGUUCCUACACCUCCAAAAACACCUUCUCCUUCUUAUAAUCCUCCUAAUGUUCCCACUCCUCCCAAAACACCUUCACCUAUUUACACUCCACCAAAUGUUCCUACUCCUCCAAAAACACCAUCUCCUGCUUAUAGUCCUCCAAAUGCUCCUUCCCCUCAUAACCAACCAAAUGUUCCUACUCCUCCAAAAACACCAUCUCCUGCUUAUAGUCCUCCAAAUGCUCCUUCCCCUCAUAACCAACCUCCCUAUGUUCCUACACCUCCAAAAACACCUUCUCCUUCUUAUAAUCCUCCUAAUGUUCCCACUCCUCCCAAAACACCUUCACCUAUUUACACUCCACCAAAUGUUCCUACUCCUCCAAAAACACCAUCUCCUGCUUAUAGUCCUCCAAAUGCUCCUUCCCCUCAUAACCAACCUCCCUAUGUUCCUACACCUCCAAAAACACCUUCUCCUUCUUAUAAUCCUCCUAAUGUUNNN
RNAcentral lists this long non-coding RNA (651 nucleotides) under Glycine max (soybean). RNAcentral's name for it is "long non-coding RNA (GMAX_LNC003017)". The record is from RNAcentral. Lineage: Eukaryota; Viridiplantae; Streptophyta; Magnoliopsida; Fabales; Fabaceae.